UCCAAACAAGCUCUUUGUCCCACUAAGUUAGCCGAAACGAGAAGGUACGCCAAACACUUCCCUUCCCUUUAUCUCCAAGUCUGAGACAGAAAAUUGUCUCUCUCUCCUCUAUCUUCCCUCUCACCAUCGCAUGAAUUCAAACCCUAUCACUUUCCUUCACUAGAUGAUAAUGGGGCUUCGAGCCGUUAACACUUGUUCCCUCAUUCGCACCGCUUCUUCAACUCCUCUUUUUGCGCUUCAGUGCUGUUUUGGCCAUACCAAGACCUUGCAAUUUAGUGGUUACAUUAAAUUUGGAUUUCAGCCCAACAUAUUUCGCAGCGAGUCAUUUUACAGUCAUGGCAGCAGUAUCAGGAGUUGUUCAGUUCACAGUCUCGUCAACAGCGUCAUGGAAGAGCUCGCGUCUAUUCGCAGACGCAAGAGAGUUUGCUCCGCCAUCAAAUUAACCAGCAGCGGAGAGCUUCUGGAUGAUAAGCUUGUAAACCAGGUGCUUGAGAAAGGAUUGUUGCUGGAGUUCAAGAAGGAUUCUGACAGGGUACUACUGGCAGUGGCACAGAGACCAGAUGGAAAGAAGAAUUGGAUGGUGUAUGAUCAGGUUCUAGUAGAAACAACUAAUGCGGCAUGUUGAAUAGAAUGGAGUUAUGUCCUCCAUCAAACCACAGCAAGUUACUUAUAUUGUUCCGGGUGUUGAAAAUUUUGAUUGCACAGAGAUCUCUAGAUUUAUUGAGAAGGCUCAAGAUAACUUGGACUCAUCACUGCUAGAGUUUGCUUGGGUUGAGCUUCUUGAAAAUAAUAAGUCAGUGACUCCAGAGGAAUUAGCAGAGAUGAUUUUUGGUAGUGCGGAGCCUCUUGAGAGCUAUUGUGCACAUCUUUUACUAUCAAAUGAUGAAAUAUAUUUCACAGUGUUGGAGACAAAAGGUUCUCGUUCUCUUUAUGGACCUCGACCUACUACACAGGUGGAAGAACUUAUGUGCAGGAAGCUUGCGAGGGAGGCUGCUGAGAAAGAUCUUCAUGAGUUUGUCCAACUACUAAAAUCUGCUAAGGCAAUGCCUUCACAUGCUAAACCUUCCAAAUCGUCAUGGAUAGUUGAAGAGAAAAUCCAACAAAAAAUCGAAUCUCUUGAAGCAUAUGCAAUUGAUGCAUGCAAAAGUGAUGACCAAAGGAAAACUGCAGGGAUGGUAACUUGUUUAACUUUAUUUUCUUUGAUUUUGAUAUGGGAUUUUAUAAUUUGUGUACUAAAUAAAAAAGGCUUAUUGAGAUGAAACAUCCUUUAUGUGCUUUAGAAGAAGUCUGAAGAAUAGACUGAAAAAUGUGUUAAUAUUUCUUGAAUGCCACCUGCUUUUUAUAUGAUUUAUUCAAGAUAUGUCAACUGCAAACUGGAUUUGUUGCCAUUCUCUGGAUAAUAUGUUUAUUCUUUCAUCAGAUCCUCAAGGCAAUGGGAAUGGCAAAAUCAGCAUCCUCUGCUGCUAACCUCCUCAUAGAUGUUGGGUAUUUCCCUGUCCAUGUUAAUCUUGAUCUAUUGAAGUUAAACAUUGCUAUGGAUCAUUCAGAUGAGAUUAUAUCAGCUGCUGAAAAUCUUGUGUCAGCAUCAGUUGACCCAGACAAGACCAACAGGAAAGAUCUUACUCACUUGAAGGUCUAUGCCAUUGAUGUUGAUGAGGCUGAUGAGAUUGAUGAUGCCUUGAGUGCAACAAGGUUACAGGAUGGUCGGAUCAAAGUUUGGAUACAUGUUGCUGAUCCAGCUCGAUUUGUCCAACCUGGAAGCACAAUAGACAGGAAUGCAAUGAGAAGAGGAACUUCUGUUUUCUUGCCCACAGCUACUUAUCCAAUGUUUCCGGAGAAGCUUGCUAUGGAGGGAAUGAGUUUGAAACAAGGAGAGGUUUGCAAUGCUGUUUCAGUAUCUGUUGUUCUACAUUCUGAUGGCUGCAUUGCAGAAUAUUCUGUGGAUAACUCAAUCAUUAAACCAACCUAUAUGCUGACAUACGAGAGUGCAUCUGAGUUACUUUAUUUGAACCUCAAAGAGGAGGCUGAUUUAAGAAUUCUUUCUGAGGCUGCAGCUUGCCGGUUACAAUGGCGUUGCCAACAGGGUGCAGUUGACACAGCCACAUUGGAAACUCGCGUCAAGGUGGCCAAUCCAGAAGAUCCAGAGCCUUCAAUUAAUCUUUAUGUUGAAAACCAAGCUGACCCUGCAAUGCGACUUGUCUCUGAGAUGAUGAUACUCUGUGGGGAAGUCAUGGCCACCUAUGGCUCUUGCCAGAACAUUCCUUUACCCUAUAGAGGACAACCCCAAUCAAAUAUUGAUGUAUCUGCAUUUGCACACCUCCCUGAAGGGCCUGUUAGAAGUGCUGCAAUUGUCAGAAUAAUGCGUGCUGCUGAAUUUGAUUUCAGGAAACCUAUACGGCAUGGGAUUUUGGGAGUUCCUGGUUAUGUUCAGUUUACUUCUCCCAUUCGCAGAUAUAUGGAUCUUCUUGCUCAUUAUCAGGUCAAAGCUGUUCUUAGAGGUGAUUCUCCUCCUUUCUCAGCUGGUCAGCUCGAAGGGAUGGCAUCCUCGGUUAACAUGCAAACUAGAGUAAUAAGGAGGCUUUGCAACAGCAGUCUUCGCUAUUGGAUAAUUGAAUUCUUGAAAAGGCAACCAAAGGAGAGAAGAUAUCAUGCACUGAUCCUUAGAUUCAUCAAAGAUCGAGUUGCAGCCUUACUACUUGUUGAGGUGGGCUUUCAAGCGUCUGCAUGGGUGUCUGUGGGAAGGCACAUAGGAGAUGAAAUACAAGUCCAGGUAGAAGAAGCUUAUGCACGUGACGAUAUUGUUUCCCUCAAGGAGGUUAUAUAGGGGGAUAAUAAGGUAAUUCUAACGAAAGAGCUUAUUGCUGAAGAAAACAAAUGCCAGACCAUCUCAAAAUGUUCGAAUUCAUCUUGGUAAUUGCCUAGAUUCUCCUUAGCUUGCUGCUAAUUCAUUGUUCUACAAGGAUGGCUGACGUGAAAAAUUCCAGCACGUAACCAUUGAAGUCUGGGAAUGCAAAUUUCGGAACAAAUCAAUUUCAUUUUUCUGAAAAGCUGCAUUGUAAUUCCAUCUACAGCUAUAUAUCUGCCCAGCUAUUCUCAGAAAAUCUGGGAUUUGAUCGGCGUCAUGGGCUGGCUGCUUAUGUUGUGGUUUAAAUUGUCCAUGUUUUUUCAACUUUUGGUUGAUGAGGUGAAGGUUCCAUAUUCGGGGCUAGCAUUCUUUGUACCGUGAUUUUGUUUUCUUAGAACAGGCUAACAAGUUUGUAGCUGAACUUCCAAUACCAAGCUAUACCAAAGUUGUGUAUUCCUCACCAUAAAUGUCUUUGACGUGUUGAUUGUACUCAGGAUUCAGCAUUUUGGUAUGUUUUCUGUUAUAUAUACAUGUAUUGCAA
Molecule: unclassified non-coding RNA, 3386 nt
Filed under: Hevea brasiliensis (rubber tree)
Lineage: Eukaryota; Viridiplantae; Streptophyta; Magnoliopsida; Malpighiales; Euphorbiaceae
Source: RNAcentral